RNAcentral lists this ribosomal RNA (367 nucleotides) under uncultured bacterium. RNAcentral's name for it is "bacterial SSU rRNA". It matches the Rfam family "Bacterial small subunit ribosomal RNA", at positions 438 to 793 of the family's 1533-position model. The record is from RNAcentral.
AGUCGUGAGGAAGGUAGUGUAGUUAAUAGCUGCAUUAUUUGUACGUUAGCGACAGAAGAAGACACCGGCUAACUCCGUGCCAGCAGCCGCGGUAAGUACGGAGGGUGCGAGCGUUAAUCGGAAUUACUGGGCGUAAAGCGCAUGCAGGUGGUUUGUUAAGUCAGAUGUGAAAGCCCGGGGCUCAACCUCGGAAUAGCAUUUGAAACUGGCAGACUAGAGUACUGUAGAGGGGGGUAGGAAUUUCAGGUGUAGCGGUGAAAUGCGUAGAGAUCUGAAGGAAUACCGGUGGCGAAGGCGGCCCCCUGGACAGAUACUGACACUCAGAUGCGAAAGCGUGGGGAGCAAACAGGAUUAGAUACCCUGGUAG